This 253-nucleotide ribosomal RNA is filed under the name uncultured bacterium. RNAcentral's name for it is "partial 16S ribosomal RNA". It matches the Rfam family "Bacterial small subunit ribosomal RNA", at positions 524 to 776 of the family's 1533-position model. The record is from RNAcentral.
UACGUAGGGUGCAAGCGUUGUCCGGAAUUAUUGGGCGUAAAGAGCUCGUAGGCGGUUUGUCGCGUCUGCUGUGAAAACUCGGGGCUUAACCCCGGGCCUGCAGUGGGUACGGGCAGACUAGAGUGCGGUAGGGGAGACUGGAAUUCCUGGUGUAGCGGUGAAAUGCGCAGAUAUCGGGAGGAACACCAGUGGCGAAGGCGGCUCUCUGGGCAAUGACCGACGCUGAGGCGCGAAGGCGUGGGAAGCAAACAGG